UAACGAAUCUUCCGCAAUGCGCGAAAGCGUGACGGAGCAAUGCCGCGUGAAGGAUGAAGCCCCUCGGGGUGUAAACUUCUGUCAGGGAUUAGGAACACAAUGACCAAACCCAAAGGAAGAGGCGACUAACUCUGUGCCAGCAGUCGCGGUAAUACAGAGGCCUCGAGCGUUAAUCGGAAUCACUGGGCUUAAAGCGUACGCAGGCGGACGUGCAGGCAUCUUGUGAAAGCCCUCGACUCAAUCGAGGAAU
This 250-nucleotide ribosomal RNA is filed under the name uncultured bacterium. RNAcentral's name for it is "partial 16S ribosomal RNA". It matches the Rfam family "Bacterial small subunit ribosomal RNA", at positions 355 to 621 of the family's 1533-position model. The record is from RNAcentral.